Molecule: long non-coding RNA, 1174 nt
Organism: Cavia porcellus (domestic guinea pig)
Lineage: Eukaryota; Metazoa; Chordata; Mammalia; Rodentia; Caviidae
Exons: 3
Source: RefSeq, a predicted model, not a curated record
UGUCCAUGUCUUCAAAUAGAAUCGAGAAGCACGCUUUAUUACACCUUUCACAGAAACAUUUAAAUCAUGUGGGGUUUGGAUGCAACAUUCUUUCUUCAACACUCCAGGGACUCUCCUAGCCAAAAGGAUGACACAGCCUUGGUUGAAAUCUGUCUCUCCAGGAGGAUGCGGAGGGUUUGAAGGAUUCUACCCAUGGAAUUAGACAACCCUUUCAAUGUUUUUGACUAAGUUUUCUGGAAGAGGACAGAUUUGUUGAUUGUCAACACAGCUUUGAAGAAUGCUUAUUACAAGAUUUAUAGAUUCAUAGUUGCUGGGAAAGGACUACAAGUCUUUUAAGGUCAGAGCCCCUGUGGGAUUCACUGGCAUGCCAUUUCUUUUUCCUUCGUUCCUUUCUUUCAUUCUUUAUUUCUUUUCUUUUUCUUUUUCUUUUUUCUUUUUUUUUGAGAUAAGGAUUCAUUGUUGAUACCAGGCUCACCUCGAGCUCACCAUGAUCCUCCUGCCUCAGCCUCCUGAAUGCUGGGAUUACUGGCAUGGAGCACAACAUGCAGCUUAUUGGUGUGUCUUUCCAAGUGUUUUAACUGCAGUAGGUGCUUGCUAAAGGUGUACAGAAUGAGUGAGGUCUGUUCGUCCCAACAUCUCCAAAUAAACACCGAUAAAUAAAUAAGAAUGGAUAGAAACUCAUGUCAAGUUCCUAUGGUCUGUGCCUCUAUUUCCACAGUGUCGCAUAUUUGGAGGUUUGGAGACUGCUGGACUGUGCUGUUUUCUAUUGCUUUUAAUGGUGAUAAUGGAAAUACUGUAAGAGGGAUUCUGAGCAACUAUGAGUUCUGUAGCUUCAAGAAUUCUGUUCACAACACUUCAACACUUGAGCUUCAAAGAGGACUCUGAGCUUACAGAUAAAAAUGAAGCCCCAGCUGACAUCUUGGUUGCAGCCUUGCAGGAACCAAAGUAAGGAUCCACUAAACCAUGUCCACGCUCUUACUGCUUAAAAACUGUGAGAUAAUAAAUACAUUGUUUCUAAUCCCUACGUGUCAUUUCUUAUGCAGCAAUAAAACUGGCCAAGAAGGGUUUAGAUCUGUUUUUACCUUGUCUUCAGGUUUUUCUUUGCCUUGCUUAUGUGAAAUGCUGUGUUAGAAAUUAUGUCACAGGAAAAAAGAGAUUUAAGGUCCAUGCUAGU